This 495-nucleotide long non-coding RNA is filed under the name Vigna radiata. Its description in RNAcentral is "long non-coding RNA (VRAD_LNC016025)". The record is from RNAcentral. Lineage: Eukaryota; Viridiplantae; Streptophyta; Magnoliopsida; Fabales; Fabaceae.
UGUUUUGAUUGAUUAUUGUUAGGUUAUCAUCUGUGCUUAAGGCUUUUAUCGUUUAACUCAUUCGGUAUAUCGUUGUUUGUCGUUAUUGACAUGGGGACGUGCGGUAAUGACAUGAACUGGUGAGUAAUCUCUUGAUUUUGCAAUACCACCUAGGGAUAGGGGUAGGACGAUCAAUUACGCUAACUUCUGUUUAUAAUGCGGUAUUAAUUACUAGGGGAGGCUAGGGAUAACAAGCCGGUAAUUGAUAUUAGGCCCUUUUCGCCGAGGGAUCAGGUUAAGGGGAGGCUAAGAAAGUCGCAUAACAAUUGAAUCAAUCUAAUAAUCAAGGGUAGUAUGUAAGAGAGAGUGGAAUAGAUGAAAUUGUUAGUACCCAACAACAUCCAUCCAUCCAUUGUUUUCACUUGUCAAUUGAAUCAACAUUUAUUUUGCAUGUUAAUAUUUUUAUCCUCAAAUCUACUUUAUUAAAUUUUAUUUCUCAAGUCUUAUUAUUUUAAU